RNAcentral lists this ribosomal RNA (553 nucleotides) under uncultured bacterium. RNAcentral describes it as "partial 16S ribosomal RNA". It matches the Rfam family "Bacterial small subunit ribosomal RNA", at positions 355 to 902 of the family's 1533-position model. The record is from RNAcentral.
CUAAGAAUAUUCCGCAAUGGACGGAAGUCUGACGGAGCGACGCCGCGUGGAUGACGAAGGCCGAAAGGUUGUAAAGUUCUUUUGCUGGGGAAGAAUAACCGCAGGAGGGAAUGCCUGUGGGAUGACAAGAACCGGCGAAUAAGCCCCGGCCAACUACGUGCCAGCAGCCGCGGUAACACGUAGGGGGGCGAGCGUUGUUCGGAAUUACUGGGCGUAAAGGGCAUGUAGGCGGCUUGGAAAGCCUGGCGUGAAAGUCUGCAGCUUAACUGCAGGGGUGCGCUGGGAACUGCUGAGCUUGAGUGACGGAGAGGGAGCUGGAAUUCCUGGUGUAGGGGUGAAAUCUGUAGAUAUCAGGAAGAACACCGAUGGCGAAGGCAAGCUCCUGGCCGAUGACUGACGCUGAGGUGCGAAAGUGUGGGGAUCAAACAGGAUUAGAUACCCUGGUAGUCCACACAGUCAACGAUGUGCACUAGGUGCUGGGGCGGUAGCCUCGGUGCCGGAGCGAACGUGGUAAGUGCACCGCCUGGGGAGUAUGCUCGCAAGGGUGAAACUU